This 253-nucleotide ribosomal RNA is filed under the name uncultured bacterium. Its description in RNAcentral is "partial 16S ribosomal RNA". It matches the Rfam family "Bacterial small subunit ribosomal RNA", at positions 524 to 776 of the family's 1533-position model. The record is from RNAcentral.
UACGUAGGGGGCUAGCGUUGUCCGGAUUCAUUGGGCGUAAAGGGUGCGUAGGCGGCGCGGUAAGUCGGGUGUGAAAUCUCGGAGCUUAACUCCGAAACUGCAUUCGAUACUGCCGUGCUUGAGGACUGGAGAGGAGACUGGAAUUUACGGUGUAGCGGUGAAAUGCGUAGAUAUCGUAAGGAAGACCAGUGGCGAAGGCGGGUCUCUGGACAGUUCCUGACGCUGAGGCACGAAGGUCAGGGGAGCAAACGGG